UUAAACCAAGCUUUCUCCCUAAAUAUAUACGUACAGAUAUUAAACCUUCAUGAUGGAAAAUGUAGUCACAUAAACACAUGAUGCGAGACAGAAAAGUUGAUGCUAAGAUGACGGAAACUAAAACCAACAAAAGUAGUUGCUAAUGGUUGAAGCCAACUUAAUUAAAACAAAAGGCAGUUUGUUUUAGUGACAGCAACUCCUGGACUUCUAUUCAACCACAGCAAAAUCCUAAUAUUGGCAGGAUCAUUUUGCCUUGUAGUGACCCUACAAGAUGCGUAAGAACAAAAAGAAGAUAAAGAUUAGUACUUUUGUGCAUCAUAGAUGACAAGAUUUAAGAAAAGUUGGAAAUAAUAGGGGCAUCCAUUGACAGGAGUAGCAUAUUAGGGCGACUAAUAAAACUGAAUAAUCAAAUAAAUGUACUGUUCAAAGUCGCGCCAGUGUCUUUAAUUGAAUUGUCCUUAAAUUAUCUGUCUGACUUACCGACUGAUAUCUCCGCAGUGCAUCAAGUUUGCAGAAGACUAGACAUAUAUAAAUAGGUCUCACUAUAUAUGGCAUCAAGUUGCAGCCCUUAAAGGAGUACAUCUUAAUCCUCUUCAUUGGCUAGUAUACAAGCCUGCAGUAAUACGCGCACCAUCAAGUCCUACUAUGAUAUUAAAUUCAGCCUACACUCCAGUCUAAAGGAAAAAGAAGAAAGAAAAAAAAUAAGAAAACUGAUCAAGUUACCUCGGGAAAUUACUUACCAAACUUCAAGUUCAGCUGCAGCUAAUUAUAGAUAGAACUUUCCCC
RNAcentral lists this long non-coding RNA (786 nucleotides) under Nicotiana tabacum (common tobacco). RNAcentral's name for it is "long non-coding RNA (NTAB_LNC015261)". The record is from RNAcentral. Lineage: Eukaryota; Viridiplantae; Streptophyta; Magnoliopsida; Solanales; Solanaceae.